GGAUUGCCUUCGGUUGCUUUUGUUUGAGUGUAGAGAGCCAUCAAAGAUUGCACCGGUGCUAGAAGAUUCCUCGUAGAUUGAGGCCACCUUCCCUACACAGACUCCUGCGCACGUAGGGAUAGCCGCGAUGCUAGAAGAAUCCUCGUAGGAGGUUUUGUCGCACGCCUCAUCUUGCAGCUCGUGAUCCAGUGGAGUACGCGCUGGAACUCGCGGGUGAUGGGUGAUGAGUGACGCGGUCUUUAUCCCACUCUCUGAGAGGUGGAGGUUUAGCCGUAGAGUGGAUUGGC
Molecule: long non-coding RNA, 287 nt
Filed under: Setaria italica (foxtail millet)
Lineage: Eukaryota; Viridiplantae; Streptophyta; Magnoliopsida; Poales; Poaceae
Description: long non-coding RNA (SITA_LNC002900)
Source: RNAcentral